CACCGCGGUCAUACGAGCGUUAGCCCAAGUGGACAGUUACCGGCGUAAAGCGUGGUUAGGGACUCCUCCAACUAAAGCAGAACUGCCUCCGGGCUGUUAUACGCUCCCGACGGUAAGAAACCCCACCACGAAAGUGGCUUUAACCCGACCCGAACCCACGAAAGCUGGGGAA
This 172-nucleotide ribosomal RNA is filed under the name Hygophum hygomii. Its description in RNAcentral is "partial 12S rRNA". Lineage: Eukaryota; Metazoa; Chordata; Actinopteri; Myctophiformes; Myctophidae. The record is from RNAcentral.